AAUGUCUGAAUAUUGAAUGACUUUAUACUACUUUUAUAAGAAAGAACAACAAAGGUUUAAAAAUGUAACAGUAACAUUAUUCUCUCAGGCAAAAUGCCAUUUAAUAUAUUUAAUAUAUCAUGUUAUAUAUUUCAUAUAACAUACUGAUCCACAAAACUCAAAAUUUUAAAACUCAAUCUUACAAAGAAGGCCUGAAAUAGUUGCUUGCUUUUCUUGUUCCCUU
This 223-nucleotide long non-coding RNA is filed under the name Bos taurus (domestic cattle). RNAcentral's name for it is "long non-coding RNA NONBTAT014245". The record is from RNAcentral. Lineage: Eukaryota; Metazoa; Chordata; Mammalia; Artiodactyla; Bovidae.